Molecule: ribosomal RNA, 495 nt
Filed under: uncultured bacterium
Lineage: Bacteria
Description: bacterial SSU rRNA
Rfam family: Bacterial small subunit ribosomal RNA
Source: RNAcentral
GGCUCAGGAUGAACGCUAGCGGCAGGCUUAAUACAUGCAAGUCGUGGGGCAGCAGGCUUGUAGCAAUACAGAUGCUGGCGACCGGCAAACGGGUGCGGAACACGUACAGAACCUUCCUUUGAGCGGGGAAUAGCCCAGAGAAAUUUGGAUUAAUACCCCAUAGUAUAAUGAAGUGGCAUCACUUUAUUAUUAAAGAUUUAUCACUCGAAGAUGGCUGUGCGGCUGAUUAGGUAGUUGGCGGGGUAAAGGCCCACCAAGCCUGCGAUCAGUAACUGGUGUGAGAGCACGACCAGUCACACGGGCACUGAGACACGGGCCCGACUCCUACGGGAGGCAGCAGUAAGGAAUAUUGGUCAAUGGAGGCAACUCUGAACCAGCCAUGCCGCGUGGAGGAUGAAGGUCCUCUGGAUUGUAAACUUCUUUUAUAUGGGACGAAAAAAGGCUUUUCUAAGUCGUCUGACGGUACCAUAUGAAUAAGCACCGGCUAACUCCGUG